UUGGCCUUUUGGAUUAAUUGCAACAAAAAGGAAUUAUUUUACAUUUUAGAAAGAAAAUUCUGGGUUAUUUUCUCAGCUCUUGGCUGAACCCUAUUCUCCCUCUCCCUUCAAUCUUUUCACUUCAAAUCUUCCUAUCUUGUGUGUUGUUGAGCUUGUUGGAGCUUGGGGGAUUUUGGUGUGCUUUGAUUGUGAGAACUUUGAGGAAAGGGUAAAUUUGUCUCUGAUCAGCCAUGAGUAUGGGAGUUGGGCGAUGUAUGUACAUGUUCGGGCCACACUAGACCAAGCGGGUUGGGGUCUACCAGUGUUGAAACUUUUGUAACUCUAUUUUGCCACUUAGGUCGGCUAAGGAGAAAAGACUUGUAAUAUUUUGUAAAAUGAUUUUUGGGAUCCCGAAACAUGUAACUUUUGUUUGUAAGGUUAAAAUUAUUACAAGUUUAUUUUCA
Cannabis sativa is the source of this 443-nucleotide long non-coding RNA. RefSeq lists it as uncharacterized. The transcript has 2 exons. Lineage: Eukaryota; Viridiplantae; Streptophyta; Magnoliopsida; Rosales; Cannabaceae. The record is from RefSeq and is a predicted model, not a curated record.